RNAcentral lists this ribosomal RNA (373 nucleotides) under uncultured bacterium. RNAcentral describes it as "bacterial SSU rRNA". It matches the Rfam family "Bacterial small subunit ribosomal RNA", at positions 521 to 896 of the family's 1533-position model. The record is from RNAcentral.
UAAUACGGAGGGUGCAAGCGUUAUCCGGAUUCACUGGGUUUAAAGGGUGCGUAGGCGGGUUGGUAAGUCAGUGGUGAAAUCCCCGAGCUUAACUUGGGAACUGCCAUUGAUACUAUCAGUCUUGAAUACCGUGGAGGUCGACGGAAUAUGUCAUGUAGCGGUGAAAUGCUUAGAUAUGACAUAGAACACCAAUUGCGAAGGCAGUUGGCUACACGAGUAUUGACGCUGAGGCACGAAAGCGUGGGGAUCAAACAGGAUUAGAUACCCUGGUAGUCCACGCCCUAAACUAUGGAUACUCGACAUAUGCGAUACACUGUAUGUGUCUGAGCGAAAGCAUUAAGUAUCCCACCUGGGAAGUACGAUCGCAAGAUUG